RNAcentral lists this long non-coding RNA (256 nucleotides) under Gossypium barbadense (sea-island cotton). RNAcentral's name for it is "long non-coding RNA (GBAR_LNC014885)". The record is from RNAcentral. Lineage: Eukaryota; Viridiplantae; Streptophyta; Magnoliopsida; Malvales; Malvaceae.
UUGAAUGAUAGAUCCAAAUAUCGGAGAGAUGAAAGCUCACUCAAGGAUAACAAAAUGCUAUCAUUCAAGUAAUUGUAACUUAAGUCAAGAAUCUCCAAAUUACUCAAUGUGGAUGAUAGCUUUCCAAAACCUGUAGGAGUGUUCUUUUAAAUAUAUACACAAACAGUUAGUGACCUUUCUUCAAUAAAAUAAAAUAAAUUAUAAGUAAUUGCAAAUUAACAAGGGUGAGAAUAGUGUAAUAAUAAAAGAUGUAACU